GCCAGCGUGGCGUAGUGGCUUGAGUGUUGGACUACAACUCUGGAGAACAGGGUUGGAUUCCCAGCUUGGCC
This 71-nucleotide transfer RNA is filed under the name Phrynosoma platyrhinos (Desert horned lizard). RNAcentral describes it as "tRNA-OTHER". The record is from RNAcentral. Lineage: Eukaryota; Metazoa; Chordata; Lepidosauria; Squamata; Phrynosomatidae.